This 71-nucleotide transfer RNA is filed under the name Sphaerodactylus townsendi. Its description in RNAcentral is "tRNA-Val". The record is from RNAcentral. Lineage: Eukaryota; Metazoa; Chordata; Lepidosauria; Squamata; Sphaerodactylidae.
GGGGCUUGGCUCAGUGGUAGAGUGUCCGCUUGACGUGGAGAAGAUUCCUGGUUCAAUCCUUGGCAUCUCCA